RNAcentral lists this ribosomal RNA (345 nucleotides) under uncultured Coprococcus sp. Its description in RNAcentral is "partial 16S ribosomal RNA". The record is from RNAcentral. Lineage: Bacteria; Bacillati; Bacillota; Clostridia; Lachnospirales; Lachnospiraceae.
GGAGUCUGGGCCGUGUCUCAGUCCCAAUGUGGCCGUCCGGCCUCUCAGCCCGGCUACUGAUCGUCGCUUUGGUGAGCCGUUACCUCACCAACUAGCUAAUCAGACGCGGGUCCAUCCUAUACCACCGGAGUUUUUCACACUGCAUCAUGCGAUGCUGUGCGCUUAUGCGGUAUUAUCAGUCGUUUCCAACUGCUAUCCCCCAGUAUAGGGCAGGUUACCCACGCGUUACUCACCCGUCCGCCACUAAGUGAUCCAAAUGAAUUCCAUCAAGAGCAGGCUCAAUCAGGUCUUCGGGAGACCACUCCGUUCGACUUGCAUGUGUUAAGCACGCCGCCAGCGUUUAUC